ACCGUCCUUGAAUGCAUGCGGUCCUCGUUUGAUCAUGCAGCGGAACGCGAAGGCCAACGCAGUUCACGGGUUGUCCCAGCCUUUUUGCGUGGAUUCACCACAUGACACCACUGAGUUCUGGACUCUGGUACUCACACACGAACUCGCCAAGCACAUCUUCAUUCUUCGUGUGACCAUUUCGACGCGCCGCUGCACGUACAUGCGCGGGUAUCGAGUAGGUUAUGUCACUCAACACAACACUCCUGACUGUUUACUUAUAUAACAGUAGUUGGUGUUUGUUAUCAUGGUUAUGGCCCGUAGAGUCUACGCGGUACUAGUAGAAGCCUGGCUGUAGCACUAGCAGCCACUUUCUCUCAAGAAUGUCAAGCAUUUCGAGCCAGAUGAAGACUGUGUCAAAACGGGGACAGCGAAAGGUCUUGUCUGUAGAGUCUUGACAGCUGGAUUCUCCCACACGCUGAGUUUGGUCUUACAGUUAGCGCUACCAAGACAGUUCUUCGUCGCGGGCAGGGAUGUUUCGCCUGGGGUCUGCGCUCCAAUCGAGCUAGCACACCCAACUCUUGGAGAUGUGGGGUGACACUGAUACCGUCUGCACGAAGGCUGCACAGCGUCGGCUAGAGUGGUUGGGCCAUGUGCCUGGAUGGACAGUAGCCGGAUGCCGAGACAGAUCCUGUUUGGCUCACUUCCCACACGUCGCCCAGCACAUGGCCCUCGCAAGCGCUGGAAGGAUUGCGUUGUGUCCGAUCUAAGAGUCCGUGGCCUCACCAAGGACUGGUAUCCUACCGCCUGUAAGUCCCGCGCUGACUGGCGGGCUAUGUAUGCCGAGCCUGUGGAGAAUGCGCCUAAGCCUGGCCCAGUGGCAUGUACGGAUUGCAAUCGGUCAUUCUCGCGCCCUGCAGAUCGCCGUGCUCGCCACAAAUGUGUGGUUUCGCGGGCCAAGCCGAUUGCUGAGCAGCGAGGGGCUUGUCACUGUGGAGAUUGUGGGCUUUGGUUUCGCAGCAAGGGUGGUCUAGCUGUUCACCGCUGUUCCGCUCCUCAACCUCCCGAUCCCUGUCAAGUCUAUGUACAGGAUGCCUGCUGUGCUGCGCACUGUGCUGUGUGUGCCAGCUGCUUUCGGACUGUGUAAGGCUGCGGUCGUCACCGGUGUUCGAGGACUGGUCCCCGCCUGACUGCCCAGCAGCGUAAUUCGUUCUCUCAUGUAUGCGUGUGUUCUCGCUGGUUCCGUUUGCUCCACCAUCUCCGGCGUCAUCAGGCCGCGUGCUCCAUCUUCCUCUCUGAUGCCCCUCCGGGGCCCACGUGACCCCUGUGGCAGUGGCUCUACAGGACAGGACAGGUGUGUGUGUGUGUGCAUGUGUGUGCGCGUGUCGUGUGUGUGUAUGUGCAUGUGUGUGUGUGUGUGUGUGCAUGUGUGUGUGUGUGUGUGUGUGUGUUAUCGCUGCUCACGGACCUGUAGUCGUCCGACCGUUCAGGACCGUCAGGGUUUCACAUGCGUUUGCGCCUGCUCCCGCCGAUUUCGCUUACCGCAUCACCUGGAUCGUCACAGGGCUGUGUGCUCCUCCUCUCUCUCAGCUGCCCCUCCGGGCCCACGUAACCUUCAUGGCAGUGGCUCAACAGGACAGGAGAGGUUCAAACCGUGCUGCCGGAGUGAAACCCUGUGCCUAAAACCAGUCGCCAGGCAUUAACAUCUCAGCUGCAGCUUAUAGCCUUGUGUGCCGAUGUGUGAUUUUUAAACUUGGGUAGUUUUCUAUGUACACUUGACAGCAUAGCUAGAUACUAUGGGGUCUCAGCAUGACAACACAACGUACUUCAAGUACAUUCAUUCUUGACACCAUGCUGUAUGGUAACAAUCCAUGCCAAGACCUGCCCAUGGGUGGAGAAUGUGGAGGACUGACAAAAGAUCUAACACAAACAGGCUGACACCAAAACACAGGCAGGAGCAUGAACAUGAUGAAGGCAGUUCAGUCAUGAUUCCGAGUUUGCAACAUCACGCGUAAGUUACACUACACUAAUCGUGUUUGUGAUAGGUGAUAAUCUUGGCAGGUUGUUAUCUGUUACUUCUAGCCAACGACACACGUUACGUAUA
Molecule: long non-coding RNA, 2080 nt
Organism: Sycon ciliatum
Lineage: Eukaryota; Metazoa; Porifera; Calcarea; Leucosolenida; Sycettidae
Exons: 3
Source: RefSeq, a predicted model, not a curated record